AAAUUGAAGAGUUUGAUCAUGGCUCAGAUUGAACGCUGGCGGCAGGCCUAACACAUGCAAGUCGAACGGUAACAGGAAGAAGCUUGCUUCUUUGCUGACGAGUGGCGGACGGGUGAGUAAUGUCUGGGAAACUGCCUGAUGGAGGGGGAUAACUACUGGAAACGGUAGCUAAUACCGCAUAACGUCGCAAGACCAAAGAGGGGGACCUUCGGGCCUCUUGCCAUCGGAUGUGCCCAGAUGGGAUUAGCUAGUAGGUGGGGUAAAGGCUCACCUAGGCGACGAUCCCUAGCUGGUCUGAGAGGAUGACCAGCCACACUGGAACUGAGACACGGUCCAGACUCCUACGGGAGGCAGCAGUGGGGAAUAUUGCACAAUGGGCGCAAGCCUGAUGCAGCCAUGCCGCGUGUAUGAAGAAGGCCUUCGGGUUGUAAAGUACUUUCAGCGGGGAGGAAGGGAGUAAAGUUAAUACCUUUGCUCAUUGACGUUACCCGCAGAAGAAGCACCGGCUAACUCCGUGCCAGCAGCCGCGGUAAUACGGAGGGUGCAAGCGUUAAUCGGAAUUACUGGGCGUAAAGCGCACGCAGGCGGUUUGUUAAGUCAGAUGUGAAAUCCCCGGGCUCAACCUGGGAACUGCAUCUGAUACUGGCAAGCUUGAGUCUCGUAGAGGGGGGGUAGAAUUCCAGGUGUAGCGGUGAAAUGCGUAGAGAUCUGGAGGAAUACCGGUGGCGAAGGCGGCCCCCUGGACGAAGACUGACGCUCAGGUGCGAAAGCGUGGGGAGCAAACAGGAUUAGAUACCCUGGUAGUCCACGCCGUAAACGAUGUCGACUUGGAGGUUGUGCCCUUGAGGCGUGGCUUCCGGAGCUAACGCGUUAAGUCGACCGCCUGGGGAGUACGGCCGCAAGGUUAAAACUCAAAUGAAUUGACGGGGGCCCGCACAAGCGGUGGAGCAUGUGGUUUAAUUCGAUGCAACGCGAAGAACCUUACCUUGGUCUUGACAUCCACGGAAGUUUUCAGAGAUGAGAAUGUGCCUUCGGGAACCGUGAGACAGGUGCUGCAUGGCUGUCGUCAGCUCGUGUUGUGAAAUGUUGGGUUAAGUCCCGCAACGAGCGCAACCCUUAUCCUUUGUUGCCAGCGGUCCGGCCGGGAACUCAAAGGAGACUGCCAGUGAUAAACUGGAGGAAGGUGGGGAUGACGUCAAGUCAUCAUGGCCCUUACGACCAGGGCUACACACGUGCUACAAUGGCGCAUACAAAGAGAAGCGACCUCGCGAGAGCAAGCGGACCUCAUAAAGUGCGUCGUAGUCCGGAUUGGAGUCUGCAACUCGACUCCAUGAAGUCGGAAUCGCUAGUAAUCGUGGAUCAGAAUGCCACGGUGAAUACGUUCCCGGGCCUUGUACACACCGCCCGUCACACCAUGGGAGUGGGUUGCAAAAGAAGUAGGUAGCUUAACCUUCGGGAGGGCGCUUACCACUUUGUGAUUCAUGACUGGGGUGAAGUCGUAACAAGGUAACCGUAGGGGAACCUGCGGUUGGAUCACCUCCUUACCUUAAAGAAGC
This 1556-nucleotide ribosomal RNA is filed under the name Escherichia coli. Its description in RNAcentral is "bacterial SSU rRNA". It matches the Rfam family "Bacterial small subunit ribosomal RNA". The record is from RNAcentral. Lineage: Bacteria; Pseudomonadati; Pseudomonadota; Gammaproteobacteria; Enterobacterales; Enterobacteriaceae.